AACGAACGCUGGCGGCAUGCCUAACACAUGCAAGUCGAACGAGACCUUCGGGUCUAGUGGCGCACGGGUGCGUAACGCGUGGGAACCUGCCCUUAGGUUCGGAAUAACUCCCCGAAAGGGGUGCUAAUACCGGAUAAUGUCUUCGGACCAAAGAUUUAUCGCCUUUGGAUGGGCCCGCGUUGGAUUAGCUAGUUGGUAGGGUAAAAGCCUACCAAGGCGGCGAUCCAUAGCUGGUCUGAGAGGAUGAUCAGCCACACGGGGACUGAGACACGGCCCAGACUCCUACGGGAGGCAGCAGUGGGGAAUAUUGGACAAUGGGCGAAAGCCUGAUACAGCAAUGCCGCGUGAGUGAUGAAGGCCUUAGGGUUGUAAAGCUCUUUUACCCGGGAUGAUAAUGACAGUACCGGGAGAAUAAGCUCCGGCUAACUCCGUG
RNAcentral lists this ribosomal RNA (433 nucleotides) under uncultured bacterium. RNAcentral describes it as "partial 16S ribosomal RNA". It matches the Rfam family "Bacterial small subunit ribosomal RNA", at positions 29 to 507 of the family's 1533-position model. The record is from RNAcentral.